This is a long non-coding RNA of Coturnix japonica (Japanese quail), 4163 nucleotides long. RefSeq lists it as uncharacterized. The record is from RefSeq and is a predicted model, not a curated record. NCBI's taxonomy places the organism in Eukaryota, Metazoa, Chordata, Aves, Galliformes, Phasianidae.
AGUGAUGGAAGUGCAGCUGAAGACACGUAUCUGACAUUUGUUUUGACUUUUGGCUGUUUGGAUCUUCCAUGAUGCAUUUGAGAAUUUUGCAAUGUGUGGACAACUUGCAAACAAAGAGGGAAAAAAAAAAAGUCAUCAAAUGAUCCAGUCUGUCAUCUGAGCCUUGUCUAGACCUGUGCCUUUAAAAUAAACAAACUCCAAGAAGAAAAUCAAUACCUUAGGUGGAAGAAUUCAUGCAUUUCAGAGCUUCAGGCACUUUUUCUACAUGUCGAGUGCAGCCUGGACCUCAUUAAAUUGUUUUCAUAGCAAGAUGAGAAAAAGGACCUUCCUGAUGGAUCUUAGAUCCUGCUGCCAGAUAGUUUUCAGCUUUUACAUGGACUUGGUCGUGUACUACUGUUGACUUCAGUAGAGGAACUGCGAAUCUCAUGGUAUCUCAGCCUUCAGGCUCCUAAUCCCAGCUGGUCAGGCCUCACAGCAUCUGCAGGGAAAUGGAAAUGGUGAAGAGAGAUGUUGCAGCUGCUUGAAGAAAAAAUAGCUGGCACUUUCUCAUCUCAAAGGCUGGUACCCCUCAGAACCAUUGCAAGGAAGUUUAAUUUGGAUGUUAAUCUGCUUUAUGAGGAUAAGUUGGGCCUGUAGCUGUUACGCUGCUUCACAGGAAAAAUGUCCAUGUAUUAUGAAGAGUAGUUGUCUUAAAUGUAUUUUCUGCAUAUUUCUGAGUAACAGUUGGAGUUAUCCUGGAACCUCUGGAAGCUGUAACUGGGAUAUUCUAUUACUCAAGAGCAACGAUUUUCACCACCACUUCUGGAUGUCUUCUUGGCAGAUAACCUGCAGCCAACAGAUUUAGCUACUAAAUGGUCAUGGAAAUAUGAUUUGAAUUGCUCUCCGUACUGCUGAGUUCACAGGUAAUCCUAUCCCAGCUAACUUGAGAUGAUUACUGUGGAAUACUGUUGGGCAGGUGGGAGGAAUGUGAAGCAAAAAUUACAGCUGCUGGCCAUAGAUCUGCAGCUUUCAAGAUCUCACCAUCCAAGUCUUUCAUCUUCUCAGAACCAGAGAAAUCACCUCUAUGUGCUCCAGAACAGAAACAGCCCAUCUGACAUCAGGAACGUGGCAAUCAAAAUAAGUUGACUUUGAAAACCUUGCAGCCGAGGUUCUUAUGAGCAGCCUUUUUUUCAGCUGGCUGGCAUGGGACCACGGCCAUCGUACCCAGUGACAUGCAGUACAGAGGACUGCGUUUGAGUAGGAAUAAGAGUUCAUGUGGCCAAAUGGCUGAAGCAUGUGGCAGCAAUGCUGCUGUGAAGCAGAAUCUGGAUGUGAGCUGACUUCUCCCUCUUCUUCACAUUCAAGACUUAAGGCCCAAGCACAGGCAGGCUGGUGCAGCGUGGACGCUUGGGCAGCUGGGACUCCAGGAUCAGGUGAAGUAAGAUUCUCAUUCCAGUGCAGCACCACAGGAAGCAGAGAUGCCCUGAAGCAUCUAACCCUACCAUGUACACAGUUAGAUAAGUAUUUCUGGGUGGGAGUUAUCAUAUGGAACCUCUUUUAUUUUACCAUUAUAAGAAGAAUUUCCUUGAGCUUCUCCAAUUAAAGACAAAUUAAUAAGCUCUCAUAGUAUUUGGAAAGCAAUGGGCCUGGCUGCUCUGUUGAAACUCCAAGAAGUGUACUGGGUUACCUAGAGAUGGAGCUCUGUAAAGAAUGAAAUUUUGGUCAGUUGCUCUAAUUAUUAUAUAUAUAGUUUUUUGAGAAUUGUAUUUUGGGUUUGGUCAAAUCUAGAUUUAAAAAACAAAACUAUUGGCAAAACAAGAAAUAAUUAUCAUCAGGAAAAGUAUCUUUUUUGUUCAACCCAAAAUAUUUAGUUCAGCUUCAAAGAACAGCUUCAUUUUUGGUCUUGGGCCACUUCACACAUUUUAAAGCUUUUUUUUCCUUUUUAAAGUUAGGCCAAAUUUAAACUGGACAGCUAAAAGUCUUUGUUUUGAAACUGAAGUGUUUUGGCAGUUCUAGAAUGAAACGCUCCAUUUUGAAAACACUAAAAUGAAGUGUUUUGACAUUUCAUUUUUCUUUCUCUGCAUUGUUUCAUCUGGAUCUAUUUGUUAAAUUCCAUUCAAAUUCAGAAGGAGUCCCAGUGCCUCUGAAAUGCCUCUGUGUGGUAUAUUUAUUAUUUGUCAGAAAGCAGUGAGUCAUUAAACUCUGCAUCAGUUCGACAUUAAAUAACAGGAGAGGAUGCUUAAUAGGGAAUUGAUUGUAUACAGCUACAUUUCUCCCUCCUAAUUACUGCUGUAAGGGUGAGCACCCAGCAGUGUGGAGCCACUGCAGCCAAGGACACAGCUUUCACCCAUCUGGCAGAAGAGGUGGAGGUCAGUCCCCAGAUCCUUCAGCUGGUGCUGUUUUCUCCUCUCCUUCAAGUAGGUCAGUCUUCUUCCUCCCUGAGUGUUAAUGUAAACUGUAUGCCUUGCUCUAGUGUUUCUGUUGCUGUAAGCUAGAAUGAACAGACAAAAAGAAUGAAAAACUUAGUUUUUUUAGUUUUGUGGUUACUGUUUUUGAAUAUUCAAAAAUGCUGAGAUUACCUCAUAAGAAUAGCUGUAAAUUAUGGUGAAAUUAUAGUUUGAGAAGUGGAGAUUGAUAAAGAUUGAGGAGCAGCCCUGCAAACUUCCUUGGUGCUGCUUACAUUGAGUAACCAGAAUAUGACUCCUGGAGGGAAGGGGCAGAAGGAGGACAAUAAGUGUGCUAAGUGAUGCUAGAUACACCUGGGCAGUACUGAAGUUUCUCAGACAUAAGGCAGGAUCUCCAUGUACUUCUUCCUCCUGUCUGGAAAGAUAUGGUCUAGGAGGUUCGAUGUGGAAAUUCAUGUGUAUUCAGUCUAGGAGGAAACUUGAGGAGUACUCAUUCUGUAGAGACGCUUGAGGAAGCUUUCAAGGAAGAAUCUGUGAUAAAUGUUAGUAUAUGAAGUUAUUGCACUUCUGAUUUACUGCCUUUCUUCUGUCUUUUCUCAUUAAUGAAGAUUGAAGUUGGGUAUAGUCCAACUUGUUUAAAUAUUUCUAAAAGCUAUUUACCUGCAUUGUAAGUAAGCAGCUGGCAUACCAACAGUUUUCUUUUUUCGGGCUGCUCAACUUCACCGGGGCUAUUCACAGCUUGCACUUUACUAAGGUCGUUGGUAUCACUGUUACACUUUUUCAGUAUUAUAUGAGGAUCGAGUUCCAGUAGUUAACAAGUCAAAAAAUAUUCAUGGGGGUGGGAUAAGAACUAGGUAGAUGAGUGCAUUCCACACGUCCACUUUAUUUCUGGAAUUACUGCUCUCAUCCAUGUGAGAAAUAAUUGUGAUAAAAGAUAGGCCUGACCUGCAGUACCCCCAAAUCCCAAAGAAAUGCUUUUGCAGGCUGCACUCUAAAUGUUCCACUCCACUUUGGCCAAAGCACGAUGAGAUCUCAACUGCUGGCUACUGCUCAAUGUCUGGACGCUAAGUAGUCUCUGGGCCAGAAGUUGCAUUACUGUAAUUCGGAAUAGUUCCCAUAAAAUCAGUUUCUCAACAUCUAUUUUCUUGAAAUUCAAAGACAGAUUUGGCGCAUCACAUGGACUGAGUUUGACUGAAAGCUGGGGGCUGUAAUCUGCUCUGAGUUAUGGUGAAGUAGAGGAGAAUUAACUCCUUUGGUUUGAAUUGGCUUCAGACCUCGGGUCUCAUACUGACAUAACUGUGCUGACCUCAGUGGAAUUGAUCCUAAUUUAUGCGACUGUAACUGAGAUUGCAAUGUGCAUUGUUUAAAUUCUGUUGAGUGCGUCUUCUUCCAGGAUGGAAACUAUUUGCAAACUAUACAAGCUCUUUCCUAAGAUUGAGGCUUGUCAUAUCUGAGAUUUUUGGUGGGGCAAGGGUGUGGGGAUAAGGGUAUAAAGCACACUUUGUGUUUAGUGCUACCUUGUCUACUUUGAAUCCCUCAGCCUCCUGCAAAAUUAUCACUGCCUCCUUAGGAGACUACAGCACCCCUGUCCUCUCAUCCUAAUAUAAAGAAUGUUCCAGCUUUGCAAUCACCCUAGAGGAGGCAGGGGAACACCUUUAGGAAAUUAAACUUCUGUUUUUCCCAAUGUUACACAUUAUGUUUCUGAAGCAUAUGAUGAAUGGGAUGCUGUGCAGCUGUAAGAUCACACGUCUCAAAUGGUUUACUUGGCUCUCCCAUACU